Molecule: microRNA precursor, 90 nt
Filed under: Sorex araneus (European shrew)
Lineage: Eukaryota; Metazoa; Chordata; Mammalia; Eulipotyphla; Soricidae
Description: miRNA (ENSSARG00000016978.1)
Source: RNAcentral
CAUGCAUGUGCACAUGAGUAUGUGUGUGUAUGUGUGUGUACACACACAUACACACACACACACACACACACACACACACACACACACACA